This 107-nucleotide small nuclear RNA is filed under the name Tupaia belangeri (northern tree shrew). The record is from RNAcentral. Lineage: Eukaryota; Metazoa; Chordata; Mammalia; Scandentia; Tupaiidae.
GUGCUCGCUUUGGCAGCACGUAUACUAAAAUUGGAACGAUACAGAGAAGAUUAGCACAGCUCCUGCGCAAGGAUGACACGCAGAUUUGUGAAGCGUUCCAUAGUUUU